RNAcentral lists this ribosomal RNA (635 nucleotides) under Termitomyces clypeatus. Its description in RNAcentral is "eukaryotic LSU rRNA". The stretch from base 213 to 364 matches the Rfam family "5.8S ribosomal RNA". The record is from RNAcentral. Lineage: Eukaryota; Fungi; Basidiomycota; Agaricomycetes; Agaricales; Lyophyllaceae.
GGAAGUAAAAGUCGUAACAAGGUUUCCGUAGGUGAACCUGCGGAAGGAUCAUUAUUGAAGUCUGGUUGUUGCUGGCCUUUCUUGGGGCAUGUGCACGCCUUAUUCAAACCCACCUGUGCACCUUUUGUAGACUUGUGUUUGUCUACCGAUAAUUAUUUACUCCCGUAUUCAGAAUGUAUUGAUUGGCCUCAGUGCCUUUAAUCAAAUAAUACAACUUUCAGCAACGGAUCUCUUGGCUCUCGCAUCGAUGAAGGACGCAGCGAAACGCGAUAAGUAAUGUGAAUUGCAGACACGUGAAUCAUCGAAUCUUUGAACGCACCUUGCGCUCCUUGGUGAUCUGAGGAGCAUGCCUGUUUGAGUGUCAUUAAAUUCUCAACCUAACCAGCUUUUGUGAGCUGGGAUAUAGGCUUGGAUUGUGGGGGCUUUGCUGGCUUCAACCAAAGUCAGCUCCCCUUAAACGCAUUAGUGGAACGAUUUUGUUGACCUUGUUCCUGGUGUGAUAAAACCUUUAUCACCACCGUGUGCAGUCAGCUUACUCUGCUUCUAACAACGUUUAUUAAUUAAACUCUUGACCAUUUGACCUCAAAUCAGGUAGGACUACCCGCUGAACUUAAGCAUAUCAAUAAGCGGAGGAA